RNAcentral lists this transfer RNA (74 nucleotides) under Anguilla anguilla (European eel). RNAcentral describes it as "tRNA-OTHER". The record is from RNAcentral. Lineage: Eukaryota; Metazoa; Chordata; Actinopteri; Anguilliformes; Anguillidae.
GUCCAUGGUGCUGCAGUGGAUAGCACUCUAACCUCACAGCUAGAAGGUCCUGGGUUCGAAUGCUGGCCUGGGCU